Molecule: small RNA, 141 nt
Organism: Caenorhabditis briggsae
Lineage: Eukaryota; Metazoa; Nematoda; Chromadorea; Rhabditida; Rhabditidae
Rfam family: Nematode sRNA ceN72-3_ceN74-2
Source: Rfam
UGUCACGGUCCGGCGUUGAUGGGUUAUCACUCGUAAUCUUCUGCUUGCAGGAGGCCCGUUCUUCAGGCAUCUGUCUGUUGAACAACCCCGCGUUCCUCACGGUUCGCACCCCCUUCCCAUCAGCACCAACUUGACCGUUAU